GAUGAACGCUAGCGGCAGGCUUAAUACAUGCAAGUCGAACGGGAUUCGGGGUAGCAAUACUUUGAUGAGAGUGGCGCACGGGUGCGUAACGCGUAUGCAACCUACCUUUAACAGGUGAAUAGCCCCGAGAAAUCGGGAUUAAUACACCGUAACAUUGCGCCGUGGCAUCACAGUGCAAUUAAAGAUUUAUCGGUUAAAGAUGGGCAUGCGUGACAUUAGCUAGUUGGUGAGGUAACGGCUCACCAAGGCAACGAUGUCUAGGGGUCCUGAGAGGGUUAUCCCCCACACUGGUACUGAGACACGGACCAGACUCCUACGGGAGGCAGCAGUAAGGAAUAUUGGUCAAUGGGCGCAAGCCUGAACCAGCCAUGCCGCGUGCAGGAAGACGGCCCUAUGGGUUGUAAACUGCUUUUGUCAGGGAAUAAACCUGUCUACGUGUAGACAGCUGAAGGUACCUGAAGAAUAAGCAUCGGCUAACUCCGUGCCAGCAGCCGCGGUAAUC
Molecule: ribosomal RNA, 502 nt
Filed under: uncultured bacterium
Lineage: Bacteria
Description: bacterial SSU rRNA
Rfam family: Bacterial small subunit ribosomal RNA
Source: RNAcentral